CAGUGCUUCCAAGCACUAUCAGCCCUGGGCUCUGUAAGCGCAGCUACAGAUAGUGAGGGGUGGGUCCAGUUCCCUCCACCAUCUCUUGACGCUCAGUUCCCGGCCGACCUUCAGUCAUGAAGAUCCUUUACUUGCUCUUUGCUGUUGUCUUCUUGGUGCUCAUGGAUGCCCCAGGUUUCUCCUAUGCUCUGUUGACCCAAAGAGGGUGUAGACGCAGAGGGGGUGAAUGUAACUUUUGGCGAUGUCCCAGCAAUGCUAUAUACCUUGACAAAUGCUAUUUUGGCCAUUGCUGUCGAAGGAGAGUGAUUGGCUGAUUGUCUAAGCAGGAUCUCAGGGAAUCGGGGAGACAGCCACUUGCUUCUAAAAUCAGCAGACCCUGCUUCAAUGGAACCCUGAACUCCUGCUGUUCAUUUGGGCUAUAAAGAACCUUGUGAGCUGGAGAAAUUUAAAAUGGAGCCCAUAUAAGAUUUGUUACUCUCCUUUGAAUAAAAGCAAGCUGG
Gopherus evgoodei (Goodes thornscrub tortoise) is the source of this 500-nucleotide long non-coding RNA. RefSeq lists it as uncharacterized. The transcript is spliced from 4 exons. The record is from RefSeq and is a predicted model, not a curated record. NCBI's taxonomy places the organism in Eukaryota, Metazoa, Chordata, Testudines, Testudinidae.